AAAUUGAAGAGUUUGAUCAUGGCUCAGAUUGAACGCUGGCGGCAGGCCUAACACAUGCAAGUCGAGCGGUAGCACAGAGAGCUUGCUCUCGGGUGACGAGCGGCGGACGGGUGAGUAAUGUCUGGGAAACUGCCUGAUGGAGGGGGAUAACUACUGGAAACGGUAGCUAAUACCGCAUAACGUCGCAAGACCAAAGUGGGGGACCUUCGGGCCUCAUGCCAUCAGAUGUGCCCAGAUGGGAUUAGCUAGUAGGUGGGGUAAUGGCUCACCUAGGCGACGAUCCCUAGCUGGUCUGAGAGGAUGACCAGCCACACUGGAACUGAGACACGGUCCAGACUCCUACGGGAGGCAGCAGUGGGGAAUAUUGCACAAUGGGCGCAAGCCUGAUGCAGCCAUGCCGCGUGUGUGAAGAAGGCCUUCGGGUUGUAAAGCACUUUCAGCGGGGAGGAAGGCGUUAAGGUUAAUAACCUUGGCGAUUGACGUUACCCGCAGAAGAAGCACCGGCUAACUCCGUGCCAGCAGCCGCGGUAAUACGGAGGGUGCAAGCGUUAAUCGGAAUUACUGGGCGUAAAGCGCACGCAGGCGGUCUGUCAAGUCGGAUGUGAAAUCCCCGGGCUCAACCUGGGAACUGCAUUCGAAACUGGCAGGCUAGAGUCUUGUAGAGGGGGGUAGAAUUCCAGGUGUAGCGGUGAAAUGCGUAGAGAUCUGGAGGAAUACCGGUGGCGAAGGCGGCCCCCUGGACAAAGACUGACGCUCAGGUGCGAAAGCGUGGGGAGCAAACAGGAUUAGAUACCCUGGUAGUCCACGCCGUAAACGAUGUCGAUUUGGAGGUUGUGCCCUUGAGGCGUGGCUUCCGGAGCUAACGCGUUAAAUCGACCGCCUGGGGAGUACGGCCGCAAGGUUAAAACUCAAAUGAAUUGACGGGGGCCCGCACAAGCGGUGGAGCAUGUGGUUUAAUUCGAUGCAACGCGAAGAACCUUACCUGGUCUUGACAUCCACAGAACUUNNNGGCCGGGAACUCAAAGGAGACUGCCAGUGAUAAACUGGAGGAAGGUGGGGAUGACGUCAAGUCAUCAUGGCCCUUACGACCAGGGCUACACACGUGCUACAAUGGCAUAUACAAAGAGAAGCGACCUCGCGAGAGCAAGCGGACCUCAUAAAGUAUGUCGUAGUCCGGAUUGGAGUCUGCAACUCGACUCCAUGAAGUCGGAAUCGCUAGUAAUCGUAGAUCAGAAUGCUACGGUGAAUACGUUCCCGGGCCUUGUACACACCGCCCGUCACACCAUGGGAGUGGGUUGCAAAAGAAGUAGGUAGCUUAACCUUCGGGAGGGCGCUUACCACUUUGUGAUUCAUGACUGGGGUGAAGUCGUAACAAGGUAACCGUAGGGGAACCUGCGGUUGGAUCACCUCCUUA
This 1414-nucleotide ribosomal RNA is filed under the name Klebsiella pneumoniae. RNAcentral describes it as "bacterial SSU rRNA". It matches the Rfam family "Bacterial small subunit ribosomal RNA". The record is from RNAcentral. Lineage: Bacteria; Pseudomonadati; Pseudomonadota; Gammaproteobacteria; Enterobacterales; Enterobacteriaceae.